This 534-nucleotide ribosomal RNA is filed under the name Dichromacalles tuberculatus. RNAcentral describes it as "partial 16S ribosomal RNA". It matches the Rfam family "Bacterial large subunit ribosomal RNA", at positions 1819 to 2625 of the family's 2925-position model. Lineage: Eukaryota; Metazoa; Arthropoda; Insecta; Coleoptera; Curculionidae. The record is from RNAcentral.
GGCCUUUUGAGAAUAAUUUAAGGUCGGGCCUGCCCAAUGACGAGGUUUGAAUGGCCGCGGUAUAUUAACUGUGCAAAGGUAGCAUAAUCAUUAGUUUUUUAAUUGGAAGCUGGAAUGAAAGGUUUAAUGAAAAAAGUUCUGUCUUUGAUUAAAUUUUUUAGAAUUUUAUUUUUAAGUAAAAAAGCUUAAAUAAUCAUUGAAGACGAGAAGACCCUAUAGAGUUUAAUAUUUAAAUAAUAUAUUGUAUUUAGAAUUUUUAAUUUAUUUUUUUUAAGUAUUUAAUUGGGGUGAUUGAAAAAUUAAAGAAACUUUUUUUUUACAAAACAUUAAUUUAUGGUUAGAUGAUCCUUUUUUUUUAGAUUAAAAGAAUAAAUUACCUUAGGGAUAACAGCGUGAUUUUUCUUAGAGUUCUUAUCGAAAGAAAAGAUUGCGACCUCGAUGUUGGAUUAAAAUGAAUUAUUGGUGUAGAAGCUAAUAUAUUAGGUCUGUUCGACCUUUAAAUUUUUACAUGAUCUGAGUUUAGACCGGUUUAAG